RNAcentral lists this ribosomal RNA (699 nucleotides) under uncultured Glomus. Its description in RNAcentral is "SSU rRNA". It matches the Rfam family "Eukaryotic small subunit ribosomal RNA", at positions 392 to 1097 of the family's 1831-position model. Lineage: Eukaryota; Fungi; Glomeromycota; Glomeromycetes; Glomerales; Glomeraceae. The record is from RNAcentral.
GAGCCUGAGAAACGGCUACCACAUCCAAGGAAGGCAGCAGGCGCGCAAAUUACCCAAUCCCGACACGGGGAGGUAGUGACAAUAAAUAACAAUACAGGGCUCUUUCGGGUCUUGUAAUUGGAAUGAGUACAAUUUAAAUCCCUUAACGAGGAACGAUUGGAGGGCAAGUCUGGUGCCAGCAGCCGCGGUAAUUCCAGCUCCAAUAGCGUAUAUUAAAGUUGUUGCAGUUAAAAAGCUCGUAGUUGAAUUUCGGGGUUCUACCGUUGGUCGGGCUUUGUCUGUACUGGCGUGUAGAAUUUCUACCUUCUGGGGAACCAUCAUGUUAUUAAUUUAGCGUGGUGGGAAACCAGGACCUUUACCUUGAAAAAAUUAGAGUGUCCAAAGCAGGCUUAUGUCUGAAUACAUUAGCAUGGAAUAAUAGAAUAGGACGGUGGUCCUGUUUUGUUGGUUUCUGAAUCACCGUAAUGAUUAAUAGGGACAGUUGGGGGCAUUAGUAUUCAAUUGUCAGAGGUGAAAUUCUUGGAUUUAUUGAAGACUAACUUCUGCGAAAGCAUUUGCCAAGGAUGUUUUCAUUAAUCAAGAACGAAAGUUAGGGGAUCGAAGACGAUCAGAUACCGUCGUAGUCUUAACCAUAAACUAUGCCGACUAGGGAUCGGACGAUGUUAACUUUUCUUGACUCGUUCGGCGCCUUACGGGAAA